Long non-coding RNA from Asterias rubens (European starfish), 542 nucleotides. RefSeq lists it as uncharacterized. The transcript has 4 exons. The record is from RefSeq and is a predicted model, not a curated record. NCBI's taxonomy places the organism in Eukaryota, Metazoa, Echinodermata, Asteroidea, Forcipulatida, Asteriidae.
GUUACAGCGCCCUCUCUUGUCGAUGCUUGUCGGUCUUUUCAAUCGGCCAUUUUAACUACUUGAUCCUUCUCUGCUGAUAGUGGAAUUUCUGCGCCUUGAGUUCAUCAUGGCCAAGUCCAAGAAUCACACCAGUCAUAACAACAGUCGCAAAAAUCACCGCAAUGGAAUCAAGAGACCCAAGAACUUGAAGAGCCCUUGUCUUAAAGGGGUUGAUGCCAAGUUCUUGAAGAACAUGAGGUUUGCCAAGAAGCACAACAAGAGACACCCUAAGCCAAAGAUUGAGUCUUAAACCAUUGGAUGAACUGACAGAGAUUCUACAAUGUAUUAUUCAUAACAAGAAAAACAAAUACACAAAAAAAGCACAAAGUAGAGAACAGAUGUUCGUAGAGUGGAGUUGCAUGCAAGGAUGGAAGAUUAAGAUUCUACUCCUAUUCUAUUUGACAUAAUGGAUACCUUGCAUUAUUCAAAAUAAAUGUGUUUUGAUUCAAAUUUAUUUGAAACGUUGAAAAAAUAAACGAGGCUUCUCCUCUACUUGGAACACA